AUUGAACGCUGGCGGCAGGCCUAACACAUGCAAGUCGAACGGUAACAGGAAGCAGCUUGCUGCUUUGCUGACGAGUGGCGGACGGGUGAGUAAUGUCUGGGAAACUGCCCGAUGGAGGGGGAUAACUACUGGAAACGGUAGCUAAUACCGCAUAACGUCGCAAGACCAAAGAGGGGGACCUUAGGGCCUCUUGCCAUCGGAUGUGCCCAGAUGGGAUUAGCUAGUAGGUGGGGUAACGGCUCACCUAGGCGACGAUCCCUAGCUGGUCUGAGAGGAUGACCAGCCACACUGGAACUGAGACACGGUCCAGACUCCUACGGGAGGCAGCAGUGGGGAAUAUUGCACAAUGGGCGCAAGCCUGAUGCAGCCAUGCCGCGUGUAUGAAGAAGGCCUUCGGGUUGUAAAGUACUUUCAGCGGGGAGGAAGGGAGUAAAGUUAAUACCUUUGCUCAUUGACGUUACCCGCAGAAGAAGCACCGGCUAACUCCGUGCCAGCAGCCGCGGUAAUACGGAGGGUGCAAGCGUUAAUCGGAAUUACUGGGCGUAAAGCGCACGCAGGCGGUUUGUUAAGUCAGAUGUGAAAUCCCCGGGCUCAACCUGGGAACUGCAUCUGAUACUGGCAAGCUUGAGUCUCGUAGAGGGGGGGUAGAAUUCCAGGUGUAGCGGUGAAAUGCGUAGAGAUCUGGAGGAAUACCGGUGGCGAAGGCGGCCCCCUGGACGAAGACUGACGCUCAGGUGCGAAAGCGUGGGGAGCAAACAGG
This 760-nucleotide ribosomal RNA is filed under the name uncultured Enterobacteriaceae bacterium. RNAcentral describes it as "bacterial SSU rRNA". It matches the Rfam family "Bacterial small subunit ribosomal RNA", at positions 28 to 776 of the family's 1533-position model. The record is from RNAcentral. Lineage: Bacteria; Pseudomonadati; Pseudomonadota; Gammaproteobacteria; Enterobacterales; Enterobacteriaceae.